Molecule: long non-coding RNA, 530 nt
Filed under: Equus asinus (donkey)
Lineage: Eukaryota; Metazoa; Chordata; Mammalia; Perissodactyla; Equidae
Description: lncRNA (ENSEASG00005028420.1)
Source: RNAcentral
CAGGGAUGGAGGAAAGCAAGUCAACUGAAAGAGCAAGGCUGGAAGAACAGCUGUGUGAUUUCUGUUUGUUUACUUCUUAAAUGUGGACACUUCUCCUCAUUCCUCUUUUUUUUUUCCCAUUGGCCAUAUUUUCAAACAAGUUUUACUUUAGGAGGAAAAAUCUGACAGCUUUUCAGUGGUGCUGAUAUCUGGAAGAGCCUCUACAAAUCUCAAGACCUUUGAAAAGCCAGCUUAAUCUUCAACGAUACAACACACACAGGAGGAUUCCUCCAGAUACCUUGCAGGUCCUUCUACUUGUGGCACACUGGACGCUGCCUCAAUGUGGCCUGAUGAGUGGUGCCAUGUCCGCGCCCAGGAUCGGAACCAGCGAAACCCUGGGCUGCCGCAGCAGAGGACUUAACCACUUGGCCCUGGGGUCGGCCCGAGGAGUCUCUUGACUGAAAGACAGAACAUUAGCCACAGCAGCACAGCUAAGAACAUUAGCAUCCAGUUCCAAGGACCCCAGUCCUAAUGUGGACAUCUUUCGGGAG